GUGCCAGCAGCCGCGGUAAUACGGAGGGUGCAAGCGUUAAUCGGAAUUACUGGGCGUAAAGCGCACGCAGGCGGUUUGUUAAGCUAGAUGUGAAAGCCCCGGGCUCAACCUGGGACGGUCAUUUAGAACUGGCAGACUAGAGUCUUGGAGAGGGGAGUGGAAUUCCAGGUGUAGCGGUGAAAUGCGUAGAUAUCUGGAGGAACAUCAGUGGCGAAGGCGACUCCCUGGCCAAAGACUGACGCUCAUGUGCGAAAGUGUGGGUAGCGAACAGGAUUAGAUACCCUGGUAGUCC
This 292-nucleotide ribosomal RNA is filed under the name uncultured microorganism. Its description in RNAcentral is "partial 16S ribosomal RNA". It matches the Rfam family "Bacterial small subunit ribosomal RNA", at positions 505 to 796 of the family's 1533-position model. The record is from RNAcentral.